This 139-nucleotide unclassified non-coding RNA is filed under the name uncultured fungus. Its description in RNAcentral is "sequence contains ITS1". The record is from RNAcentral. Lineage: Eukaryota; Fungi.
AUGAAAGCUUCGGCUUCUUUAAGACGUUUUACCCCUCAUGUUUACCGCACUCCUGUUGCUUCCGCCGUCGUAAGUCGGCGGCGGGAGGUUUAACGCAAAAACCAUAUUUGAAGUCUGAAUUGAUUAGAACAAUGCUUCA